GCGCGAAAACUUUACAAUGCUGGCAACAGCGAUAAGGGAACCUCGAGUGCCAGGUUACAAAUCUGGCUGUCGAGAUGCCUAAAAAGCAUUUCAUAGCAAGGGCCGGGCAAGACCGGUGCCAGCCGCCGCGGUAACACCGGCGGCUCGAGUGGUAACCGUUAUUAUUGGGUCUAAAGGGUCUGUAGCCGGCCGGAUAAGUCUCUUGAGAAAUCUGGCAGCUUAACUGUCAGGCUUUCAGGAGAUACUGUCUGGCUCGAGGCCGGGAGAGGUGAGAGGUGCUUCAGGGGUAGGGGUGAAAUCUUGUAAUCCUUGAAGGACCACCAGUGGCGAAGGCGUCUCACCAGAACGGACCUGACGGCAAGGGACGAAGCUAGGGGCACGAACCG
This 386-nucleotide ribosomal RNA is filed under the name uncultured bacterium. RNAcentral describes it as "bacterial SSU rRNA". It matches the Rfam family "Archaeal small subunit ribosomal RNA", at positions 339 to 726 of the family's 1478-position model. The record is from RNAcentral.